UACGUAGGGACCAAGCGUUGUCCGGAUUUAUUGGGCGUAAAGAGCGUGUAGGCGGUUUGGUAGGUCCGCUGUGAAAACUCGAGCUCAACCUCGAGACGCCGGUGGAAACCAUCAGACUAGAGUCCGGAAGAGGAGAGUGGAAUUCCUGGUGUAGCGGUGAAAUGCGCAGAUAUCAGGAAGAACACCCGUGGCUAAGGCGGCUCUCUAGUACGGUACUGACGCUGAGACGCGAAAGCGUGGGGAGCGAACAGG
Molecule: ribosomal RNA, 252 nt
Filed under: uncultured bacterium
Lineage: Bacteria
Description: partial 16S ribosomal RNA
Rfam family: Bacterial small subunit ribosomal RNA
Source: RNAcentral